UACUCAAAAACCGUAAAGAUUCUGCCAUUCUGACCAGAAGCUUACCACUCGCCACGAAUCAACGGAGGUAUCAAGAUCGUCAAGUUUAGGACUUACAAGUCGUUUAAGAUAAAGCCAUGAAGAUGCCUCGAUUUCUGCUCGUCGCCCUCCUCGCCGUAGUAUUGAUAGUUAUUGUUGAAUCCUAUCCAGCUGAUAAAGAUGACUUCUUAGAGAUGGUCGAGAGAAACUUCAUGGAAAGAAGAUCCUGCCGCAAGUUCCGGUCCAAGUGCGACUGUAACGACCAAUGUUGCAGCAAGUGCUGCAGUCCCACGCACAUGUGCCUGCCAGACAAUAUGAGGAAGUCAGCCCCCAUGUUCUGCAACGUCAUGGUCGAGUGCAAAGCCCGAGGCCGAAUCGAUAAGAAAUAAACAACACGUUGAAUCACAUGUGACGAGAAACUACGUAGUUUGACGAAAUUCUCAUUUGGGACUUUUGGAUUUUCAAGAGGUGAAAAGACAAGUGCAGCUUUCAGAAUUUUUCAUAAUUUCAUUCUUGGUGAUGUCAACAGUGAUUAUGCACGUGCAUAGUCAUUAGCAUACAUUAUGCAAUCAUUUUGUUGCAAGAGCGCCGCCUGGUUGUGAUAUUCCUAACUACUUUGGUUUAAAUAGAUGGAUGCAUGAAUCUCUCUUGUCGUUUGUCUCUGGUCAUUAGGUGAUCUUGAAACGUCAACUUCGUUGAGCCAACCGAGAAACUAAUCAUCUCAUGAGCCCUUUCCUUUAGCAGUACAUAAUGUAUAAGAUAGUGUGGGUACAACAUCGUCUUCUCUGCAUAAUGGAGCCACCAAACUUGAUGGUGUUCAUUUGGUCGGGCACGAACAGCAUCAGUAUCCUAGUUUUACACCACUGCAUCCAUUCGCGGACGAUGUCACAUUGUUCUUACUUGGACGAAAAUGCUUUGUACCGGAACUACGCCGGAAGAGUCCCGGUGCGAAUGAGCUAUUUUCAAAUAUGGAUUAAGAAUUCUUUAAAUUCAUCAAGAGUGCGAAAUUAGAGGUCAAUGAGCGCAAUUUACGGAAAUUAAGAACUGCAAAAUUCAAAAUUGUUUUCUUGUAGGACUGCGGCCUGUUGACUCGUGAUUAAAACUCCGUGACAGCAUGGGCUUAAGACUGCAGGCAACCAAACGUACCAACGUCUGUGAUUUCUAUUGCAUUCUAAUGUUCUGAAAAUAACGUUUUACGAAAGUCACCAUUUUGCUGGAGAGCAUACCUUUUGAAAUGGGGUAGUAUUUGCACUAAGAAAUUGAGGAGACAUGUUUUGAAAGAGUUCAACAAACUUGUUACUAAUGGACACAUGAGAAAGGAAAAUUAUAUCCAUCUACCCCUUCUUCGAAAAAAUAUAACGCAGCAAAGCCCCCUGAGUCUGAUUCUAUACCAUUUCAUGUCGACUGUACAUUUCAUAAGUGAAAAAUUUCUGUAUUACCCCCGAAUUUAAGCUCCAUGUCAAAAUGGUGGCAGAAAAUAUAUUCAUUUUAAUUGAAUAAACUGUUGUAUAACUUGGAAAGCAAAGGGAAGGUGUAGAUAUCAUUACAAUUGUUUGACGAGUGACCAUGGAAUACA
Molecule: long non-coding RNA, 1594 nt
Organism: Lineus longissimus
Lineage: Eukaryota; Metazoa; Nemertea; Pilidiophora; Heteronemertea; Lineidae
Exons: 3
Source: RefSeq, a predicted model, not a curated record